Molecule: ribosomal RNA, 584 nt
Filed under: uncultured bacterium
Lineage: Bacteria
Description: partial 16S ribosomal RNA
Rfam family: Bacterial small subunit ribosomal RNA
Source: RNAcentral
UGGGGAAUUUUGGACAAUGGGCGAAAGCCUGAUCCAGCAACGCCGCGUGUGUGAAGAAGGCCUUCGGGUUGUAAAGCACUUUUGUCCGGAAAGAAAUCCUUGGCUCUAAUACAGUCGGGGGAUGACGGUACCGGAAGAAUAAGCACCGGCUAACUACGUGCCAGCAGCCGCGGUAAUACGUAGGGUGCAAGCGUUAAUCGGAAUUACUGGGCGUAAAGCGUGCGCAGGCGGUUUGCUAAGACCGAUGUGAAAUCCCCGGGCUCAACCUGGGAACUGCAUUGGUGACUGGCAGGCUAGAGUAUGGCAGAGGGGGGUAGAAUUCCACGUGUAGCAGUGAAAUGCGUAGAGAUGUGGAGGAAUACCGAUGGCGAAGGCAGCCCCCUGGGCCAAUACUGACGCUCAUGCACGAAAGCGUGGGGAGCAAACAGGAUUAGAUACCCUGGUAGUCCCACGCCCCUAAACGAUGUCAACUAGUUGUUGGGGGAUUCAUUUCCUUAGUAACGUAGCUAACGCGUGAAGUUGACCGCCUGGGGGAGUACGGUCGCAAGAUUAAACUCAAUGAAUUGACGGGGUCAUAGCUGUUU